CGCCUCUUGCUUUUCAUAAGAGGUCCAGCCUGCCCGGUGACUCUGUUAAACGGCCGCGGUACCCUGACCGUGCAAAGGUAGCGUAAUCACUUGUCUCUUAAUUGGGGACUAGUAUGAAUGGCAUCACGAAGGCCAUACUGUCUCCUUUCUCCAAUCAGUGAAACUAAUCUCCUCGUGAAAAAGCGAGAAUAUUGCCAUAAGACGAGAAGACCCUAUGGAGCUUUAAACAAUACAGCAAUUACCUAAAAAAAUUAUAAUUUAUGAAAAUUAACCAGAAUCGAGGUAUAGUGACUGUUAGUUUUUGGUUGGGGCAACCGUGGAGUAAAAAACAACCUCCAUGUUGUACAGGGAACUUCCCUUAAGAAAAAAACCUACAAUUUUAUUCAUCAAUAAAUUGACAUUAAUUGACCCAAUAUUUGAUCAACGAACCCAGUUACCCUAGGGAUAACAGCGCAAUCCACUUUGAGAGUCCUUAUUGACAAGUGGGUUUACGACCUCGAUGUUGGAUCAGGGUAUCCCAGUAGUGCAGCCGCUACUAAAGGUUCGUUUGUUCAACGAUUAAUACCCU
RNAcentral lists this ribosomal RNA (568 nucleotides) under Gastrotheca walkeri (Walker's marsupial frog). Its description in RNAcentral is "partial large subunit ribosomal RNA". It matches the Rfam family "Bacterial large subunit ribosomal RNA", at positions 1817 to 2597 of the family's 2925-position model. The record is from RNAcentral. Lineage: Eukaryota; Metazoa; Chordata; Amphibia; Anura; Hemiphractidae.